GCUAGCAAUGCACGCCUGUGGUUCAGCCGGCUAGUCUUGUGAGUUGUCGUGGGCGGAUCCGAAUGGACCGUCCGCGGCGUCUUCGCUGGGCGAGCUGUGGUGCACUCCAUGGACGUGCGCGUCAGCGUCGGUUUCCGACGAGCGAUGAGGUGCGUGGGGGAAGGUAGCUCGGUUCUUCGGGACGGAGUGUUACAGACCCUGGUGCUGGGCUCGUCGCGGGACCGAGGAGAGAGAUGAUCGCUGCGGCACCUGCCUCUCGGGGCUAGCCAGCCGUUGCCAGAUGUGCGUCAGGCGUUGAGGACUGCACGCAGUGCUCGAUGUUGAGGCGUGGUCUGGUGGUGGUGUGGGCAUAGAGGUGCCUAGGACGCUGGCGUCCAAAUGGCCGUGCGCGACCCGUCUUGAAACACGGACCAAGGAGUCUAACAUGUGCGCGAGUCUUAGGGUGUGCAAGCCCUCGGGCGCAAUGAAAGUGAAGGUUCGGCACUAGUCGAGCUGAGGUGAGAGCCGUUGCUGGCCUGACUGCUACGGCGGCGCAUCAUCGGCCGGUCCAUCCUGCUCUCAGGAGGAUCCGAGCAAGAGCGUAUCUGUUGGGACCCGAAAGAUGGUGAACUAUGCCUGAAUAGGGUGAAGCCAGAGGAAACUCUGGUGGAGGCUCGUAGGGAUUCUAACGUGCAAAUUGAUCUCAAAAUUUGGGUAUAGGGGCGAAAGACUAAUCGAACCAUCUAGUAGCUGGUUCCCUCCGAAGUUUCCCUCAGGAUAGCUGGAACUCGUCAACACAGUUUUAUCAGGUAAAGCGAAUGAUUAGAGGUCUUGGGGGUGAAACACCCUCAACCUAUUCUCAAACUUUAAAUCGGUAAGAAGCGCGACUUGCUUAAUUGAAGCCGCGCAGCCAAUGUGAGUUCCAAGUGGGCCAUUUUUGGUAAGCAGAACUGGCGAUGCGGGAUGAACCGAACGCUCGGUUAAGGUGCCCAAGUCGACGCUCAUCAGACCCCAGAAAAGGUGUUGGUUGAUAUAGACAGCAGGACGGUGGCCAUGGAAGUCGGAACCCGCUAAGGAGUGUGUAACAACUCACCUGCCGAAUCAACUAGCCCUGAAAAUGGAUGGCGCUCAAGCGUCGCACCUAUACCGGGCCGUCGUCGUAAAUGCCAGGCGACGACGAGUAGGAGGGCGCGGUGGUCGUGAUGCAGCCCUUGGCGUGAGCCUGGGUCAAACGGCCUCUGGUGCAGAUCUUGGUGGUAGUAGCAAAUAUUCAAAUGAGAGCUUUGAAGACCGAAGUGGAGAAAGGUUCCAUGUGAACAGCAGUUGGACAUGGGUUAGUCGAUCCUAAGAGAUAGGGAAGUUCCGUAUCAACGUGCGCAAUCGGUCUUGUGCCGCCUUGCGCCAACCUAUCGAAAGGGAAUCGGGUUAAUAUUCCCGAACCGGAAUGCGGAUAUUCUCUGGCUCUCGGGUCAGGAGCGGCAACGCUAGCGAACCGCGAGACGUCGGCGGGGGCUCCGGGAAGAGUUGUCUUUUCUUUUUAACGCAGUCGCCAUCCCUGGAAUCGGUUUGCCCGGAGAUAGGGUUGGCUGGCUCGGUAAAGCAGCACACUUCAUGUGCUGUCCGGUGCGCUCUCGACGGCCCUUGAAAAUCGCGGGGGUGUACUGAUUUUCGCAUCCGGUCGUACUCAUAACCGCAUCAGGUCUCCGAGGU
Molecule: ribosomal RNA, 1689 nt
Filed under: Aphroceras sp. G316285
Lineage: Eukaryota; Metazoa; Porifera; Calcarea; Leucosolenida; Grantiidae
Description: eukaryotic LSU rRNA
Rfam family: Eukaryotic large subunit ribosomal RNA (bases 274-1689)
Source: RNAcentral